AUCAAGCAACUGCAUGUCUGGUUGGAUGACCAGCGAGCGAAGCCAAAUACACAUUUCAGCUGAAUUUAUCGUGUGUACGCUUUACUACUAAGACUGCAGCUGAUAGCCAAAUCCUUAUUGGUCAGGAUGCAGUAACUGAUCCGCGGAAUGCUCAUUAUCGACCCGCCCAGUUAUCAAAUAUUAUGGUUUUCCCCAUGUUCCUGACGCAGCCACGAGCAUGUGGGGCAAAGCCAGAUUGCAAUUUCAGGAACCAAGUGAAUGUUUUACAUAGUUGAUUGCAGCCAUUAAGGGACAUACAAAUAUUGAAUCAAAUUGUAUGAGACACCACCCAAAUUUCUUAAUUAUUUAGAAUAUAAUUAAGACCAAGACAUUGGGGAGUAGAGGGGGUAGCUUAAUACUUAAAUGUAUCUUGUAAAAAUGAUUAAUCCUUGAUA
Long non-coding RNA from Drosophila subobscura, 434 nucleotides. RefSeq lists it as uncharacterized. Lineage: Eukaryota; Metazoa; Arthropoda; Insecta; Diptera; Drosophilidae. The transcript is spliced from 3 exons. The record is from RefSeq and is a predicted model, not a curated record.